GACGAACGCUGGCGGUGUGCUUCACACAUGCAAGUCGAACGAGGUAGCAAUACCUAGUGGCGGACGGGUGAGUAACGCGUGGGAAUCUGCCUUUAGAUGGGGGAUAACGGGUCGAAAGACUCGCUAAUACCGCAUAUGACGAAAGUUGAAAGGAGUAAUCCGUCUAAAGAUGAGCCCGCGUCCGAUUAGCUAGUUGGUAGAGUAAAAGCCUACCAAGGCGACGAUCGGUAGCUGGUCUGAGAGGAUGAUCAGCCACAAUGGGACUGAGACACGGCCCAUACUCCUACGGAGGCAGCAGUGGGAUUUACGCAAUGGGCGAAAGCCUGACGUAGCGACACCGCGUGAGCGAAGAAGCCCCUUGGGGUGUAAAGCUCUGUCAGCUGGAACGAAAAAAUGACGGUACCAGCAGAGGAAGCAUCGGCUAACUACGUG
This 432-nucleotide ribosomal RNA is filed under the name uncultured bacterium. RNAcentral's name for it is "bacterial SSU rRNA". It matches the Rfam family "Bacterial small subunit ribosomal RNA", at positions 28 to 507 of the family's 1533-position model. The record is from RNAcentral.